GCUAAACGCGAAGAACCUUACCAAGGCUUAAAUGGGAAACGACGGAUCUGGAAACAGGUCUUCCUUCGGGCGUUUUUCAAGGUGCUGCAUGGUUGUCGUCAGCUCGUGCCGUGAGGUGUCAGGUUAAGUCCUAUAACGAGCGCAACCCCUCGUUGUUAGUUGCCAGCGAGUCAUGUCGGGAACGUCUAGCAAGACUGCCGGUGCAAACCGUGAGGAAGGUGGGGAGUGACGUCAAAUACAUCACGGCCCUUACGCCUUGGGCUACACACGUGCUACAAUGGUGGUGACAAUGAGCCGCUAACUCGCGAGAGUAUGCAAAUCCCUAAAAGCCACCUCAGUUCAGAUUGUUCUCUGCAACUCGAGAACAUGAAGUUGGAAUCGCUAGUAAUCGUGGAUCAGAAUGCCACGGUGAAUACGUUCCCGGGUCUUGUACACACCG
Molecule: ribosomal RNA, 439 nt
Filed under: uncultured bacterium
Lineage: Bacteria
Description: bacterial SSU rRNA
Rfam family: Bacterial small subunit ribosomal RNA
Source: RNAcentral